RNAcentral lists this ribosomal RNA (330 nucleotides) under uncultured Spirochaetota bacterium. Its description in RNAcentral is "bacterial SSU rRNA". It matches the Rfam family "Bacterial small subunit ribosomal RNA", at positions 29 to 351 of the family's 1533-position model. The record is from RNAcentral. Lineage: Bacteria; Pseudomonadati; Spirochaetota.
AACGAACGCUGGCGGCGCGUUUUAAGCAUGCAAGUCGAACGGCAGUCCGGGUAGCAAUACCUGGGCGAGAGUGGCGAACGGGUGAGUAACACGUAGGUGAUCUACCCCUGGAUGGGGGAUAGUCCGUGGAAACACGGGGUAAUACCGCAUGAGGCCUUGGGGGUAAAGCCCUGAGGUGAAAGCUCCAAUUGGAGCGUCUGGGGAUGAGCCUGCGGCCCAUUAGGCAGUUGGCGGGGUAAUGGCCCACCAAACCGACGAUGGGUAGCCGGCCUGAGAGGGUGUACGGCCACACUGGAACUGAGACACGGUCCAGACUCCUACGGGAGGCUG